GCAUAUCAAUAAGCGGAGGAAAAAGAAACUAACAAGGAUUCCCCUAGUAACUGCGAGUGAAGCGGGAAAAGCUCAAAUUUAAAAUCUGGUGGUCUUUGAUCAUCCGAGUUGUAAUCUAGAGAAGUGUUAUCCGCGCUGGACCGUGUACAAGUCUCCUGGAAUGGAGCGUCAUAGAGGGUGAGAAUCCCGUCUUUGACACGGACUGCCAGGGCUUUGUGAUGCGCUCUCAAAGAGUCGAGUUGUUUGGGAAUGCAGCUCAAAAUGGGUGGUAAAUUCCAUCUAAAGCUAAAUAUUGGCGAGAGACCGAUAGCGAACAAGUACCGUGAGGGAAAGAUGAAAAGAACUUUGGAAAGAGAGUUAAACAGUACGUGAAAUUGCUGAAAGGGAAACGCUUGAAGUCAGUCGCGUUGGCCGGGGAUCAACCUUGCUUUUGCUGGGCGUACUUUCCGGUUGACGGGUCAGCAUCAAUUUUGACCGUUGGAUAAAGUUCAGGGGAAUGUGGCAUCUUCGGAUGUGUUAUAGCCUUUGUUCGCAUACAACGGUUGGGAUUGAGGAACUCAGCACGCCGCAAGGCCGGGUAUUUAUACUACGGUUCGUGCUUAGGAUGCUGGCAUAAUGGCUUUAAUCGACCCGUCUUGAAACACGGACCAAGGAGUCUAACAUGCCUGCGAGUGUUUGGGUGGAAAACCCGAGCGCGUAAUGAAAGUGAAAGUUGAGAUCCCUGUCGUGGGGAGCAUCGACGCCCGGACCAGACCUUUUGUGACGGAUCCGCGGUAGAGCAUGUAUGUUGGGACCCGGAAAGAUGGUGAACUAUGCCUGAAUAGGGUGAAGCCAGAGGAAACUAUGGUGGAGGCUCGUAGCGAUUCUGACGUGCAAAUCGAUCGUCAAAUUUGGGGUAUAGGGGGCGAAAGACUAAUCGA
Molecule: ribosomal RNA, 920 nt
Filed under: Agrocybe praecox
Lineage: Eukaryota; Fungi; Basidiomycota; Agaricomycetes; Agaricales; Agrocybaceae
Description: LSU rRNA
Rfam family: Eukaryotic large subunit ribosomal RNA
Source: RNAcentral